RNAcentral lists this ribosomal RNA (120 nucleotides) under Pteropus alecto (black flying fox). The record is from RNAcentral. Lineage: Eukaryota; Metazoa; Chordata; Mammalia; Chiroptera; Pteropodidae.
GUCUACGGCCAUGCCAUUUUUGAACGCGCCUGAUCCCGUCUGAUCUUGGAAGCUAAGCAGGGUCGGGCCUGGUUAGUACUUGGAUGGGAGACCACCUAGAAAGACCAGGUGCUAUAGGCG